AGUGAACGCUGGCGGUAGGCCUAACACAUGCAAGUCGAACGGCAGCACAGUAAGAGCUUGCUCUUACGGGUGGCGAGUGGCGGACGGGUGAGGAAUACAUCGGAAUCUACUUUUUCGUGGGGGAUAACGUAGGGAAACUUACGCUAAUACCGCAUACGACCUACGGGUGAAAGCAGGGGAUCUUCGGACCUUGCGCGAUUGAAUGAGCCGAUGUCGGAUUAGCUAGUUGGCGGGGUAAAGGCCCACCAAGGCGACGAUCCGUAGCUGGUCUGAGAGGAUGAUCAGCCACACUGGAACGUGGACACGGUCCAGGCUCCUACGGGAGGGAGCAGUGGGGAAUAUUGGACAAUGGGGGCAAGCCUGAUCCAGCCAUACCGCGUGGGUGAAGAAGGCCUUCGGGUUGUAAAGCCCUUUUGUUGGGAAAGAAAAGCAGCAGGUUAAUACCCCGCUGUUCUGACGGUACCCAAAGAAUAAGCACCGGCUAACUUCGUG
RNAcentral lists this ribosomal RNA (492 nucleotides) under uncultured bacterium. RNAcentral describes it as "partial 16S ribosomal RNA". It matches the Rfam family "Bacterial small subunit ribosomal RNA", at positions 29 to 507 of the family's 1533-position model. The record is from RNAcentral.